CCUGCUCUGCACAUUUUGCAUGUUUCCCUUUUUUAACAGACCUGAUUCAGAUCAUCAGUUCGUUAGGAGAGAGAGAUCCAUAAACUGAACUGAGUGUGUCAGAUAAGAGAGACAGAACGCAGGUCCACAGGACUGGAACUGAGAACCACUGGUCGCUGGAAAAAUUAAUAUCUUAGUGUCCUGGUGGACAGUGUUGUGUGAUGGAGGACUCUGACCUGACGCCGACACUCCUGACCUCAAAGUGUGCAGUCUGAGGGCAGUCUGUGAAACCCCAGUGCAUGUUUGCAUUCCUGAAACGGUCUGUAGCAGACGGUGAAGGCUGGAUGAAGAAUGGGAAUGUUGCUUUAAGGUUUGUGGGUUCGGAGGUUAUCGCACAAGCUGCCUACACAGGCUCUCCAACAGUCCAUAUUGAGGUGAUACCCAUACCGCUUGAGAUUCAGUAGCAUAAGCCAAAAGACACUGUAUGUUAUAAAGAUUUUACCACAAUAAGAGGUGUCUUUAAGGCCCAGUAUACUGAUGGUGAAGCUCUUUUUUGAUCUUUGCUUAGAGGUGAAAAGAAUUGUGAAGUAUCUGAGCAGGAGUAUACUGUUAACGAACAUCAUGGUGCCACCCACACCACUGAGAGUGCCGU
Long non-coding RNA from Cyprinus carpio carpio, 631 nucleotides. The record is from Ensembl. Lineage: Eukaryota; Metazoa; Chordata; Actinopteri; Cypriniformes; Cyprinidae.